RNAcentral lists this ribosomal RNA (308 nucleotides) under uncultured bacterium. Its description in RNAcentral is "partial 16S ribosomal RNA". It matches the Rfam family "Bacterial small subunit ribosomal RNA", at positions 505 to 810 of the family's 1533-position model. The record is from RNAcentral.
GAGACAGCAGCCGCGGGAAUACGUAGGGUGCGAGCGUUAAUCGGAAUUACUGGGCGUAAAGCGUGCGCAGGCGGUUCGUUAAGACAGAUGUGAAAUCCCCGGGCUUAACCUGGGAACUGCAUUUGUGACUGGCGAGCUAGAGUAUGGCAGAGGGGGGUAGAAUUCCACGUGUAGCAGUGAAAUGCGUAGAGAUGUGGAGGAAUACCGAUGGCGAAGGCAGCCCCCUGGGCCAAUACUGACGCUCAUGCACGAAAGCGUAGGGAGCAAACAGGAUUAGAUACCCCCGUAGUCCCUGUCUCUUAUACACA